Molecule: ribosomal RNA, 373 nt
Filed under: uncultured organism
Description: partial 16S ribosomal RNA
Rfam family: Bacterial small subunit ribosomal RNA
Source: RNAcentral
GUAGGUGGCAAGCGUUGUCCGGAAUUAUUGGGCGUAAAUCGCGCGCAGGCGGUUUUUUAAGUCUGAUGUGAAAGCCCACGGCUCAACCGUGGAGGGUCAUUGGAAACUGGAGAACUUGAGUACAGAAGAGGAAAGCGGAAUUCCACGUGUAGCGGUGAAAUGCGUAGAGAUGUGGAGGAACACCAGUGGCGAAGGCGGCUUUCUGGUCUGUAACUGACGCUGAGGCGCGAAAGCGUGGGGAGCAAACAGGGAUUAGAUACCCUGGUAGUCCACGCCGUAAACGAUGAGUGCUAAGUGUUAGGGGGUUUCCCGCCCCUUAGUGCUGCAGCUAACGCAUUAAGCACUCCGCCUGGGGAGUACGGCCGCAAGGCUG